Molecule: RNA transcript, 9786 nt
Organism: Carassius auratus (goldfish)
Lineage: Eukaryota; Metazoa; Chordata; Actinopteri; Cypriniformes; Cyprinidae
Exons: 2
Source: RefSeq, a predicted model, not a curated record
GAAUGACUCUACAGUACAAGUUUACUCUGUGUCAGAAGUACUGUAAUCAUAAGAUAACAGAAUGGAGAUACUCUGAGCUGAUCUUGUCCCUCGCAUGUCAAUGUUGUGUGAAGAAAGAAAAGCAAGGGAAGUGGAGGAAGGAAAGAAUUUCACAGGGAAAUGAACAUUACGUCUUAUCAGAUCGAAUGAAUGUGGCUACAGGCGUUAGCAGAGGACGGGCGGAAUGAUUGCUUUAUCUAAACGGUCUUGCCCAGGCAUAAACAAACAAAGACAUGCCGAGGAAAACACAAACACACACCCACAUGGAGUUCUGGGAGUCUGGUUACAUUAUGUGAGGUGCAGGCGCUACACGCAGAGCACAAAAGAACUCAAACCUGACUGCAGUGACAACACAGCCGCGGCAUUUAUCAGCCAUGGCAUGUCUGCCUGACAGCACCUCCCUCCUCACACACAUUAUUGCUUUUCUAUCAGGCUAAGUGUGUGUGCGCGAGAGGAAGUGAGCGGACAUUGAAUUUUUAUUCAUUUGCAUGCAGAAACAUGAACUAACAGUCUCUGGUGAGGAAGAUAAGGGCUUCUUUCUUUCAACUAUAUAUAAGUGAGUGACAGAGAAAGAGUCAGAAUGAGAGAAGAGAGUUGCGUUUCAGGCCUAGCAGAGAACACUUUGCUGUAGGCAAUGCUUGGAAGGGUGUGUGUGUGUGUGUGUGUGUGUGUUUGGACCUAGAAUGCACAAAGUGACUGGGACUGAUGUGAACAAAAGCUAAGCGGCAAAAAUAUCAAAGCUGUGGCUAACUGACCAAAGCGAAUGCGAAGCAAACAUUUCUUGAAGUGCAGCAGCUCUUGUCACAGUUGUGCACAACUUGCAUUUAAAAAUGUUGGAUAUCUGUUGAGCUGAGCUACAGACCACACCCUUUCUGCCCGGGUGGUUUUGGUGCUAGGUGUGGCACCCAGCCGCAGAUAGUUAAUUAGUCACCAGGUGGGAAGGAUCUAGUGAUUUUAAGGGAAUCAGAGUCACUCACAGGAUAGAAAGCAGGUUGGCAAGAUGUGUGGAGAAACUGGGCCUGAAAAGUGAUAUUGCAGGACUAAAGCUUGUUUGAACAAGGAAGGAGUCGGUGAGCAUUUGUUUGUAAAGUGUGGUGGAUUUUAACAUUUAAGUAAAUCAUGUAAUUAUGCUUAAGGAAAAAUGUGUUUAAAUGUUAUGAAAUCAUGUUUGGAUUGUAAGCUAAAGUGUUAUACAUUUAACAUUUAUGAAGGUAGUUAAAAGAAAUGUGUUAAGAUUUUUAAGGAAGCUGGAAGUGAGAAAUUGUGGUUUUAUAGAUUAAAGCUGUUAGAGUUUAAGGGUAGAAUUAUUUGAGUAGUGCUUUAAAAGUGUCUUCAAUUUAUUUGGGUGCUCUAGAUAUGGGGUUUUUCUUUCAAUGUAUUUUCAAGACUAAUUUGUGUUUAAAUUUAAGUAUUUGAUCCUGGGUUUUGAUGCUUUAAUAUGGUUACUUGGGUUUAUUGUAUAUUUUCUUGAUUACUUGUAUUUGUGUUUAAGGUUUUUUACCUGCUUUUGGCCAUGGCAACUUUCAAAUAAAAGAAAGAAAAGAAAGAAUUGAUUCCUGGUCAUUGAGUAAAAUCCAGUCCAAACCUUCAAGAGCAAGCAUACCCUUUCAAGUGGGGGAAAUUGCAGGGUUGAACUUCACUAGAGUGAGGGAACUUGACAGUAAAAAACCGCUGUGAAGACUGGAACAAAGAAUCCUGAACAGCAACCAGCCAGGCCUGAUAAAACAGGAAAUCCUCCAACCCAAUCCUGCUGAAAAGAUGGCUGACUCAAAGACACUGGAGCAGCUAAAGAACAAUAGGACAUCCGCAAAGCGACAAUUCUCACGGCUGGCUAACAACGUAGUCCGAAUGUAUGCCAUCACACCUGAAGAGGAGCUCAGGGACAGUUUCAAAAAGCUCAUAAUUGAGGCCAACAAGGUCAUGGAAGCCAAUGAUGAUGUAGGGGCCCAGUACCUUGUAGAAGCCGAGCUGGAUCCAGAUUCCGAAGGAGUUCCCAGGUUGAAUGAGCAGCAAAAGGCCGACAUUGGGAAAACCGCAAGUGAGUGCGAGAUGAGGUUGAAUGAGCUCAAAGAGCUUAUCCAAAAGACACUCUGGACCAACUUUGGAGAAGAGGAACUGACAAUGGCAGUGAAGGCUGCGGAGGAGGAAGUAGAGAGGGUGGUAUCCUUUGGACCUGGUGGAAAUAAAGAGGUUUAUGACUUCAUGUUUGAUUACAUGGAAAAACUGGUUAAGAGGGCAAAAGAGCUGCACGCACAGUGGAAGUGUUGGGCUCCUGCUGCUGAACGACAAGGUUUCCAGCUGCGGGUCAGAGGUCUUGAGCAGAUCAUCCCCAAGUUAAUGUCAAGAAAAGCUGAGUUCAUUCAAGUAAAAGCUAAAGAAGAUGCCGAAAGAGUUGUGAGUGCAGCUUCUAUCAGCUAUCCAACAGCAGCCAUUAGACUGAAGCCUACUUCCCUCCCCAAGUUUACUGGCAUCAGGCGAGACUUUCAUCGCUGGAAAAGGGACUGGGAGGCCCUCCAGAGGCAAGGAGAACCCACUGGGUCAAAAGAAGUCAAAAAGUUUCAGCUUCUUGACAGCUUGGAUGAGAAAUUAAUGAGAGAUCUUCGAUUGAUGACCUAUAACACAGCAGAUGACAUUCUUCGUGUCCUAGAGAAUCGGUUUGGAAGCCAAACUGCGAUUGCUAUUGAAAUAGUAGAGGAGCUCCAGAGACUUCCAGCUGCAAAAUGUCACCAGCCCAAGAAAAUUGUUGAGCUCAUCCAAGCCGUGGAGAAGGCCCUUGAAGACCUGAGUGACCUGGGUGACACUGGUGCUUUAAAGAAUCCUCUGGUGACAAAGUCGAUUGAAAGUAAGCUUCCAGAUGCACUGAAGAAAGAGUGGCUUCUUUAUGCAGCUGAGAGAAGCAGUACUGACCCAGAGAAGCGCUUCGACUAUCUUCUGGCCUUUCUCAAGAGUCAAGAGAGCAUCUACGAACAGCUGGAUCAAUUGAGGGAUGAAGAGCCACUGAGGAAAGAAAACCGGCCUGAACAAAGGCAGGCUAGGACCAGAGCAUCAAUCCAGUCAAGUAGCAACCUCUCAGGAUGUGUAAUCUGUGGGGACAUCAAGCAUAAGAAGAAACUGUACUUCUGCAAAAGGUUUCGUGUGCUCAAGCUCACAGAGAAGAAGGAUGCGGUGCGGAAGCUGGGAGCCUGCUGGAAAUGUCUGGAGGUCCAUGACGAGGGUAAUCACUGCAAAACUUUGUUUCUGUGCAAAAGUCCUGAUUGUAGAGAGCAGAGAGUUGCAGACCAUCACUAUUAUCUGUGUCCCAGUGCUGAGGUAUCCAGAGACAGUACAGCUCAGAGGAGGAGAAAAACCACAGUGGGAGGUGAGAGCUGGAGGAAUUACACCGAGGCCCAGGAGGAAUUCUUCAGAAAACUCUCACCUGAAUUAGCCAAACAAUGUCGGGAUGCAUUCUGUAACACGGCAGCGAGCACCUCCCAUCUUGCAAAGAGUCAUUCAAGUCUUCUGGUAGAGAGGGGCCUAGCGGAGUGGCCUGUCAUCAUGAUGCUGUUGGAGGUAACAGCAAAUGCUGGGCAGAAAAUUGGAACCCUUAUCGACCUAGCUUCCGAUACAAAUUAUAUCACCCAUGAGGCAGCAGGUCGGCUCAAUCUCAGAAGUGAAGACAUCACGCUUGUAGUCCAUGGUGUAGGAGGCAUGAAAGCCUUUGUCAAGACAAAGCGGUACCUCCUGAAAAUUCGGGUCAACACCUUAAGAGGCACUCUCAGAUCCCACCAGCUGGUUUGCUAUGGCCUAGACAGCAUUGCAGACAUUCAAAGACAUGUGUCUGCUAAAAAACUACAAGAGUUCUUCCCAGACAUUCCACUCAGUGACCUGGCAAGGCCAAGGGAGAUCCACCUCCUUGUAAGUCACAAGGAAGGACAGCUGGCUCCGCAGAAAGUCCGCACUGUGGGGGACCUUGUGUUGUGGGACGGACCAAUGGGAAAGACCGUUGCUGGAACCCAUCCUGAGUUGUUCGAGGCGGUAACUGUUUCAGCCCACACAUCGAGAACGCAUUUCGCAAGGUCUAUGAGAACUGCUGCGGUAAAAUAUGAAGAACACACCUGCGUGAUUCCCAUUAAUCGUCAACAAAGCCAGCAACUUCAGGGAUUCAGUUGUGGGACUACUACGUCUAGCUUCCUCGAGUGGUGGAAAUGGGAUAGCAUCGGUGCUGGCUGCAUCCCAAAAUGUGGGGGUUGUCGCUGUGGAAACUGCCAGCCAGGCGGCAAAGAAAUGACCCUCGCAGAAGAAAGGGAGCUGGAGGUGGUAAAGAAUGGGCUAACAUAUGUAGUUGCUGAUGAGCACAGUGAGACUCCUCACUGGCACGCCAGGUACCCCUGGGUAGAAGAUCCAGCCACAUUACCAAGUAAUAGGUGUGCAGUUGAGGCAACUUUCCUCAGGACGGAGAGGCAGCUGACCAGGGAGCCGGAGUGGAAGGCUGCCUAUGCUGCUCAAGUUCACGAGAUGGUCGAGCGUGGGGCGGCAAUGAAGUUGCCUGAAGAUGUCCUUCAGACAUGGACUGGCCCAGUGUGGUACAUUAGCCACCUCAUCGCACCCAACCCACACUCCGUCACAACUCCGGUGAGACUGGUCUGGAACAGUAGUCAGAAGUGUAGAGGUGUGAGCCUUAAUGACCUCCUGUUAAAGGGCCCCGACGUCUUAAAUUCCAUUCGUGCUGUGCUUCUCAGGUUCCGGAGGGGAGAGUUUGCAGCUUUGGGAGACAUAAGGAAAAUGUACAAUUCAGUGUGGCUUGAAGAUCGGGAAGUGCAUUUGCAUAGGUUUCUGUGGCGUGACUCUGAAGAGGAGGAGCUUGGCAUAUAUGCAGUCACAAGAGUAAACAUUGGUGACAAGCCAGCAGGUUGUAUUGCUCAACUCGCCAUGAGAGAGACCGCGAAUCUCCCCCAGUUUAGCCAUCUUGAGGAAGAACGUCGGGUGCUAGAGGAGGACAGCUAUGUUGAUGAUAUCUUGACCUCCCAUAACAACUUGGACCAGCUCAAAGUGAUCACAGAAAAUGUGGAACAGAUCCUGGGAGCAGGAGGGUUCAAGUUGAAGCCGUGGGUCUUUUCUGGUGAAAGUAGGAGGGAUUCUCUCGGAAAACAGGAACAGAAGGCUACUCCAAAGACUGUAAUCCUGCCAAAUCAGCUCAAGGAGGAGGACAACAAAGCUCUUGGCCUCGGCUACACCCUGGAGGAUGACAAGCUUCAUGUUAUGGUUGGUGUAAACUUUUCAAAGAGGAAGAGAAAGAUGAGAGUUGGCCAAGACCGGGAUUCUCUCGGAAAACAGGAACAGAAGGCUACUCCAAAGACUGUAAUCCUGCCAAAUCAGCUCAAGGAGGAGGACAACAAAGCUCUUGGCCUCGGCUACACCCUGGAGGAUGACAAGCUUCAUGUCAUGGUUGGUGUAAACUUUUCAAAGAGGAAGAGAAAGAUGAGAGUUGGCCAAGACCUUCAAAAGGAAGAGGUGAGAUCUCAGACGCCAGACCCACUGACACGACGAGAGUUGCUUAGCCAAGUUUCUGGGCUGUAUGACCCAGUUGGUCUGACGACGCCUGUAAAGCAGAAAGGAGCCAUUUUGGUUCGGAGAGCAUUUCAAGAGGCCAAACACAAAUGCAGCACUGUCAGGGACACUUGGGACCUUGCGCUAUCAGAAAAUCUCAGAGAAGAUGCCAUCAGCCUUUUUGAAGAAUACGUUGAGCUGAGCAAAGUCAAGUUCCCUAGAGCCUUGACACCAGUGAGUGUGACAGCUGAGCCUGAUGCAAUUACCUUUUCUGAUGGGAGCGAUCAUGCCUAUGGUGCCGUCCUGUAUCUGCGGUGGGACUGUGAUCAAGGUCCAACAGUGAGGCUGGUGGAGUCUAAAGCUAAACUGGCCCCCCUAGACCACAAGGGGGAAGCAGUCAAGGCAGAGCUAUGUGGAGCAGUAUUCACCGCCAGGUUAAAGAGGUACUUUGAGCAACAUAGCCGAAUUCAAGUUAAGCAAUGGUACCACUUUGUUGAUAGUCAAACUGUACUUUGUUCAAUUCAACGUGAGAGCUAUGGCUUUCAGACCUUUUUUGGCAACAGGAUUGGAGAAAUCCAAACCAGCACACAACUUCAGGAUUGGUGGUGGAUUCCUGGAUCCCUGAACAUCGCUGACAUCAUUACUCGUGGGUCUGGCCCAAAGGAGUUGGCUGAAAAUUCACCAUGGCAGCAAGGACCAAAGUUUCUGAGUCUACCGGUUGAGGAGUGGCCGAUUAAGUCUGCAAAGGAUGUAUCUGUAACUGCCAGAGAGAGUGUUGGAAGGAUGCAGAAGAAAUCAUUUGCUGCGGCUCUCACAAGAGCUAAGGUGAAAGAGGCACUAAACCUGGAGCAUCGAAGGCCACCUGCUGGGGCUGCUGUCCGAAACCUGGUGGAUGAAGGACGGUUCAGCAACCUGACUCGUCUGGUUAAGACCAUUGCCUGGGUCUGGAGGGCAGCAAAAUGCUUUGCAGCUAAAAGUAAGAUCCUGGGAGCUCCAAAGUGGGAGGCAGUCUCAUCAGCCAGGGUCAUCACUACGAUAGAGCGCCAAGAUGCUUUAAGGGAUCUGUUUCUUGCCACACAAGAGGGGGUGACCUUUCCAGCAACCACAAUAGACCGGCUGGUAGUCUUCAAAGAGGAAGAAACUGGGUUACUGGUUUGUGGUGGUCGAGUCCAAGCCUUUAAUGAAGACCAAGUUAGUGUCCCUCUUUUACCUUGCAGCGCCUGGGUCUCAACAUUGCUUGUUCAGGAAGCUCAUAGCAAGGGUCACGAGGGUGUGGCUGCCACUCUAUUGAAGGUGAGAAAGAGAGCAUGGGUCAUCAAGGGACGAAUAAUUGCUCGAAAAGUCAUUGAAAAUUGUGUGGUCUGCAAGAAAGCCAGAGUGAGAAGAUGUCAGCAAGUUAUGGGUGAUCUGCCUCAAGAGAGAACCAGGCCAGCAUCUCCAUUUGAGUUCACAGCCGUUGACCUGUUUGGACCCUAUCAGGUCAAAGAUGAUGUUAGGAAAAGAGUAAAAAUGAAAGUCUGGGGAGUUGUAUUUUGCUGUAUGGUCAGCAGAGCAAUACAUACGGAGCUCACCAACACAAUGUCAACUGAAAGCUUCCUGAUGGCUUAUCAGAGGUUCACCGCAAUUAGAGGCCACCCUAAGACGAUAUGGUCUGAUCCAGGGACUAAUUUUGUUGGUGCCAAGUCUGUUCUGAAGGAGUUGUAUCAGUUCCUGGACAGCCUGGAUAGGUCUGCUGUGGAGGAUACUUCAGCUCAAAAUGGAACUGACUGGCAUUGGAAAAUUCUGCCAGCUGAUUCACCUCAUCGGAAUGGCUCUGCGGAAGCAGCUGUUCGGAUUGUGAAGAAGGCGUUCCAGAGUCUGGGAAGAGAGUCAGGGCUCUGUUUCAGCGAGCUUCAGACGACUCUUCAGCUUGCCGCUAAUCUGGCAAAUGAGCGGCCCAUUGAUGCCAGGGUGCAGAGCCUUGAAGAUACAGUGCAGUACGUCACGCCAAAUACACUUCUGCUGGGACGAGCAUCAUCAAGUGGUGACUGGAAAACAUUUGACUUUGCAAGCUAUCCCUAUAAGAGACUUCAGGAAAUGCAGCAUCAGGUCAACAAAUUCUGGAGAUUCUGGAGCCAACUUGCUGGUCCUAAUCUUUUCGUGAGGAGCAAGUGGCACACUGCACAGAGGAAUGUCGCAAUUGGAGAUAUUGUCUGGCUCUGUGAUCAGAAUGCAUUGAGGGGCCACUUUAAGCUUGGAAGAGUCAUCAGUGUAAAUCCUGAUUCUAGAAACAUUGUACGGGAUGUGAAUAUUAGAGUUGUGGCAAGCUCCUGUAUUCCGGAGGUGAGGCCUGUAACAUCAGCAUCCAAAUAUCCUACAUCCAAGCAUCAUGUCUCCAGCAUUCGGAGGGACCUUCAGUCCACAAUUCUUCACCGGGAUGUCCGGCGGUUGGUGGUCCUACUGCCAGUGGAGGAGCAGGCAGGGAGCCCAGGAGGACAUCUCUGACUACUAGUUUACUGUGUGCGAUCUUUCCAGCGGUUUCCGUGGGAAGAUCGAGUGGGAGGUGUUGAGCUGAGCUACAGACCACACCCUUUCUGCCCGGGUGGUUUUGGUGCUAGGUGUGGCACCCAGCCGCAGAUAGUUAAUUAGUCACCAGGUGGGAAGGAUCUAGUGAUUUUAAGGGAAUCAGAGUCACUCACAGGAUAGAAAGCAGGUUGGCAAGAUGUGUGGAGAAACUGGGCCUGAAAAGUGAUAUUGCAGGACUAAAGCUUGUUUGAACAAGGAAGGAGUCGGUUUUUUACCUGCUUUUGGCCAUGGCAACUUUCAAAUAAAAGAAAGAAAAGAAAGAAUUGAUUCCUGGUCAUUGAGUAAAAUCCAGUCCAAACCUUCAAGAGCAAGCAUACCCUUUCAAGUGGGGGAAAUUGCAGGGUUGAACUUCACUAGAGUGAGGGAACUUGACAAUAUCUGUCUUUCAGUCCUUGUCUGAUAGCUAUGCAAUCAUCUAUAUGCAAGAAUAUAAUUAAAAGCUAACAAGAUUUGCAUUUACAAUUAGCAUACAGUUAGACGUUGAAGUUUACUGCCCUUCUCUUUAGAAAAACAGACCAAAAAUAUUCAUGACCCAUCCUGCACUGGACAGAUUCUUGUCCAAUCAAAUGCUCUCUAGAGUGAAAAAAGUUCCUUCAGAAAAUUCCACCUCCAACUGACUGGCAAGUAACAAAUUAUGCAUAAUGCCAAGAUCCUAUCUCCCCAUCUCACACUAUUGUGAUACCUUGCUCUAGCAAAUCAAAAGCACUUCGUUUAACCUGUUACUGCUAUGCUAAGCUGGAAGGGAGAACUGUGUACUUGUAAGAUGAAGGCUUACUGACAACAUAAAAGUGAAUUGUUUGAUGGUUUUUGCAUUGGUAAUGUAAUUUUAUGUGAAAAAUAAAACAUUGUUCAAGCUAAUGAAAAUAAAAUUUCUUAACACCAAUAGACUUGGUUGUUAGCUUGUUAUUCGAAGACCAGCUUACAACACAAAGUGAAAAUAUUUCAAUUGACCAUUUAGCUUUGGUACUAUAAAGUGAUAUGUAAUUUUCUAGCUAAAUCAAACUAGCUUUUCUAUAGCAUCUAACACCAAGCUAAAACAUCAGGCUUUAAACUGACCAUCUAGCUUUGUUAAUGUAAUUUGAUAUGUAGUUUUGUAGAAAAUCAAAAAAAUCACUAUGCUAAACUAGUAGGCUAAAUUGUUAGCUUGCUAAGCAAAGGCUAAUUAAACACAAACUAAAUUAUUUAAGACCAUUUAGAUUUAUCAAUAUAAUGUGAUACAUAAUGUGUCAUUUUCUAGCUAACCAAAGGAGCUUUUCUGAAGCAGACAUUUAACGCUAUGUUAAGCUAGUAGACUAAGCUCUUAGACUGUUAGCUGAAGGCUGACUGAGAACACAAAGAAAAGUAAAACGUGCAUUUGACCAUUUCAGUUUUGGUAAUGCAAUGGAAUUUUUGAUAUGCAAUUUAAAAACAAACCUGGUUCUAAAUAAUAAAAAGAGCUUUACUGAACCACUUAAUGCUAUGCUAAGCUAGCAGGCAAAAUACAAAGAAAGGGAAAUGCUUUAUUUGACCAUUUUAGCUUUAGUUAUUCAAUGUUCACAUUAAAAACGCAUAAAAUGGAUGUCUCAAACAAAGGAAUCGUUUGGUCCAAGGGGGGCAGGUCUUGACGGGGAAAGGAUUGUGCACAACAAAAAUAAAACCUAUUAGCCAUUAAAAAAA